UGUGUUCCUUGCACGGACGCGGGACCCCAUGCCACUAGGUGCUCCUUGCACACUCGCCCUUCCCUUGCACGCUCGCCCUUUGCACACCCCCACUGCACACCUUUCAUUUGCACGCUCGCUCUUUGCACACCCCCGAUGCGCCCCUCCCUUGUACACCCUUCCCAUGCACGCUCGGCCUUCCCUUGCACACUCACCCUUUACACACUCGCCCUUGCCUUGCACACUCACCUUUUGCACACCCCCGCUGCACCCCUUUCAUUUGCACGCUCACUCUGUGCACACUGACACACCCCUCCCUCGCACGCUCACUCUUCCCUUGCACACCUGCCUUUUGCACACCCCCACUGCACUUUUCAUUUGCACACUCGCUCUUUGCACACUCCCAACGCACACCUCCCUUGCACACCCUUCCAUUGCACACUCACCCUUUGCACACCCCCAAUACACCCCUCCCUUGAAUGCCCUUCCUUUGCACGCUUGCCCAUCCCUUGCACACUCACCUUUUGCACACCCCCACUGCACACCUUUCAUUUGGACACCCCCGACACACCCCUCCCUUGCACACCCUUCCUUUGCACACUCACCCUUCCCUUGCACGCUCACCUUUUGAUACCCUUACUGCACACCUUUCACUUGCACACUCACUCUUUGCACACCCCCGGCUCACCUUUCCCUCGCACGCUCCCCCUUUGCACACUCGCCCUUUGCAUCCUCAUGCACACCCUUCCCUUGCACACGUGCACACUCCCCCUUUGCACACCCCUCAGGGAUACUCACACUUCUCACACUCACCCCUCCCACACCCCACCCUCUCACACACUCACUUUGCACCCACCCCGCAUGCUCCUUCUUGCACAUCCACCUGUGUGCACCCCCUCUUUGCACACUCACCCCUUGUACACUCACCUCCCUUGCAAGCCCCCCUUUAGCACUCCCCAUGCACCCCCCCUUGCACACUCACCCUUUGAA
RNAcentral lists this long non-coding RNA (969 nucleotides) under Anas platyrhynchos platyrhynchos (common mallard). Its description in RNAcentral is "lncRNA (ENSAPLG00000018239.1)". The record is from RNAcentral. Lineage: Eukaryota; Metazoa; Chordata; Aves; Anseriformes; Anatidae.